CGAAAAUUACACUGGGGUACCGGUACUCCCCUGCGUGGUACCGGUACUCAAUUCUGAAAACCUGCACUUUGCAGAUUUCAAUGCCAAAACUCUGUUCUCGCGUCGCGCUGAGUCCGUUUUGCAUCCAUUUCGCGCCAAAACGAUUCGGACUUAUCCCAACACUCUCCAGAUAUGUCGACAAGUCUCAGAUGCUGAAAUCUCACGACUGCAGAACACCAGGGAUGUUACAGUUCUUCAACUUUAUUAAAUAUUUUCUCAUUUUAUUCUUUUUUGUUUGAUUUGAUAUUACUAAUUUUGUAAGGUUAUCUAUAAUAUUUCUAAUAUUUUCAGGGGUACGAAUGAAAUUAUCCCAUACUAAUUAUUCUAAAUACAACCGUAUGUCUAAGGGAUUGAGAAAUAAUAUAUGGUGCAAUAAGUACAUUAAAAAAUUUUAGUUGGCAUGGUAGUCCCCCAUUAGUUAGUAAAAUAAUUUUUAGUAGGUAUCGUAGUCUCCCAGUAGUUAGUGAAUGAGAAGGGAAAUCAUUACUUGUGAUUCUCGUAAAUUAACUUUCGUCAAAUAUAAAAUUAACUUAAGCUGUAUCAAUCUUUUUUUUAUUUUUUAAUAUACAAUUUAUAUCUGAAUGCUCAAUAUUAUAAAAUUAACAUUUAUAUCUAAUACCAAUAGUCUAAAUUAUUUAACAUUUAUUUAUAUAUUUUACAUUUUAUAAAAAUAAAUAGUAAAUUAUAUAAUAAAUUAUUAUAUAAUAAUAUAUCUAUAUAAAAAUAAAAUACUACUUAUAAUAAAUAAAUAUAUAUUUAUAAAUAAAAUUAUAUAUAUAUAUAGAAUUAGGCUAAAAUACUAUCUAUAAUAUUGGAGCUCCGGUACUAUAGUCUUGUUUUCGAUCUUAGUGUGUUCAAAUUAACGAUCCACACCGUUAAAUAUGAUUUAGGGUGUAUGAAGUUUUUAGAAAUAAAAUUUUAGGCUUUUUUUGACAUCCUUUACUUAGUAAAUAAAUUAUAUCAAAAUGGACGGUGGAAAUUGAAUAAACUUUAAAAUUUGAGCAUAGGACUUUUAAAUUUAAGAU
Molecule: long non-coding RNA, 1064 nt
Filed under: Ananas comosus (pineapple)
Lineage: Eukaryota; Viridiplantae; Streptophyta; Magnoliopsida; Poales; Bromeliaceae
Description: long non-coding RNA (ACOM_LNC022174)
Source: RNAcentral